CGCUACAAGAGAUGAGUAUAUGGAAUUGACUUACACUUGCCACAAGCUAAUCAUGAUCAUCUCAAUACAAACAUACAUUCAAUCACCAUUCACAAGAGCAGGGUCCGACUACAAACGAAAUCAAAUGACAAAAAUGACGUCCAUCCUUUCUAUCCGAGGAUGCCGGAUUGGAACCCAUCCUAUAAUCGAUGAUGAAGAAGAAGAAACUCCAAAUAGAAUGAUCACCGCGCUCACGUCAAAGUAUCACUUUACGUGUACCUGCAAGUAUUGUUGUAGUAAUCUGUGAGCCACACGGACUUAGCAAACUCAUUUCCAUAGGUAUCAACACUAGCAAACCUUAAUGGGUGAGGUUUGAUUAACUCGUGAGCUGCAGCAAGCAGUAAUAAUUUAUUUGAGUGGCUAGCUUACGAGUACAAUAUUAAGAGUGGGGUGAGCUAUGCAUAAAUCGAUAUGGACUGAUAAUGAUCAAGAAGUGAUCCUGAACACCUACUUACGAGUCAAGCAUAACACCACUGUGUCUUCUCCCGGAUUUAGAACUCAUGAGAAGAGACAGUCACGGUUACGCAGACAGUUAGCAUAUUUUAGUUGAGUUUACUUCAAGUUUGCUAUGACCGGGUAUUAAACAAAGUUUCCAAGUUGCCACAUAACUACGGGCACGUCUCUCAGAAAUAUUUAACCCUCUAGAGGUGCUCCAACUCAUCCAUCACAAACUUGCCACAAGAUGCAUGGAGAACGUUGACCACGGAAAACCCGUAGUCUCCUCGGAAUCCCGUAGAAAGACCUCAACCACGAGAUAACACAAACUAUCCUCGGAAUCCCGCGCACAAGACGUUCAAGAAAGGUGAAAUAAUUCCAGCAAGGCUGCCCGACGUGCCGAUGACCCCGAUAGGAGUAGCUAUCUUAUUCUCACGGCACAUCGGAUGAGCGAUGGUUACCAUGCCAAAACAUCGAGUUGCCCCGUCUAGCGUUAAUAAGCUCCUCUGGAUUGGACCAACAGUCAUGAGAAGCACUUGCCCGUGGGUUGAUUAAUUAUCCACGGUUACUCGCAGGUCCCUAUGCUUUGGAUUAGUUAUUAAGCAAAUGUAGUACCAAUGUUGGGCCUUGCCAGAAGAGUUUUAUCCCAAAACGAAAAUCAAGGGGGUCUCCAUAACACCCCAAGCAUGUUAGGAGCGCUCAACAUGGAACAUAACACCGAUACACAAGUAACUAGGGCGGCAAAGGUGGAACAAAAUACAAAUCUAGAAGGCUACACCUUCCACCCUUUACCAAGUAUGUAGGUGCAUUAAAUUAAAUAGCAAUAAUAUGGUGAUAUAACAAGGAAUCCAUGUUGUUACAUGGGAAGCAGCUUGCACCUACAACUAGCAUUGCUAUAAGAAGGGUCGAGCAAGCGGUAACAUAGCCAAACAAGGGUUUGCUGGGAUGUGGAGGGGCUUAGAGGAUUUUCAUGGCAACGUUGUGUGGUUGGAUUCUUCCCCCCACUAUAUAAAUGGUCCUUCUUCCCAAUUGGACUAAAUCCAUCCGUUGAGCUCGUGUUCUUCCCCAUUGUUGAUGUUCUUAGAGCUUGCUAACUCGAAUCCCUCCAAUGAUUCUUGCUAGUUCUUGAGGGAAAAUAGAGAAGAGAUCUAGAUCCACAUCUCCACCAAUCACCUUCUCCUCUAUGUGAGGGGAACCCCUUAGAUCUUUAUCUUGGAGUGCUUUAUGAGCUCCUUGUUCUUCCUUUCAUAUUUCUCCACAGCUUUUGUUGUUGUGGAGGGUUUUGCGUGUGAGGGACUUGACCACUUCGCGUGUUCUUGCCAUUACAUUAGUUGCAUCGGUUUGAGUUCUCCACGGUGAUACGUGGAAGUGAGAAGUUGAGAAGCUUAUUACCCUUGGGUACUUGGUACCCCUAGAAGCUUGGUGGUGCCUCGGAGCUCAAUCAUUGUGGUGUAAACCUCCGGGGAAGCGUCGGGAUCUCCAAUUAUGUUGUGGAGAUUGCCCCGAGCAUUUGUGGUAACCUCGAAGCCAUAUGCCAUUGCGGUGAAGCUUAGUGGUGUUGUUGGGAGCCUCCAAUUAAGUUGUGGAGAUUGCUGCAACCUUGUUUGUACGGCUUCGGUGACCACCCUCAAGGGUCCCUUAGUGGAAUCAUGACAUCUUGCAUUGUGCGAGGGCGUGAGGAGAUUACGGUGGCCUUAGUGGAAUCUUGAGGAGCAUUGUGCCUCCACACCGCUCCAAACGGAGAUUAGCAUCCGCAAGGGUGUGAACUUCGGGAUACAUCGUUGUCUCCGCGUGCCUCAGUUAUCUCUUACCCGAACCCUUUACUUAUGCACUUUACUUUGUGAUAGCCAUAUUGUUUCUUGUCAUAUAUCUUGCUAUCACUUAGUUGUUUAUCUUGCUUAGCAUAAGUUGUUGGUGCACGUAGGUGAGCGUAGUUGUUUUAGGUUUUGUGCUUGACAAAUUGAACAUUAGUUUUAUUCCGCAUUCGUUCAAGCCUAAACCGUAAUUAUUUUAAAGCGCUUAUUCACCCCCCCCUCUAGGCGACAUCCAUGUCCUUUCACCAGCUCCGCGUCCCGACCUCCUCUGCACCUCGGCACAAGGCCACAGGAUGAUCACCCCCUCUUCCCCGUUAUCCCUUGCCCAUGUGCGCUUCUUAAUAUGGUGCACCUGCUGUGCUAUUUGGGCAUGUUUCAGAUUCGGCCCGUAUAGUAUUUUUUUGGUUCUGCGAAUUUGUCCAUUAUCCACUGAUUUUAAUAAUUGCAGAAAAUGCCAUAUUUUUAAAAUGCCAAUAAUUGAUUAACCGUGCAUCGCAUAUAAAAAAAUUAUAUGUAAAAUGUCCAGAAUUUUGUGUACAUUAAUAAUAUGUCACUUUCAUGCAUGUAAAAAUUAGUUAACUUGGUGCUUGCAUUGUUUUUGCGUGAUGCCAUAUUAAAAAUGACUUAAUUCAUAUCAAAAUAACCAUACAUCGGGCUUAAAACUUUAUACAUGAAAAAUGCUUAGAAUUUUAUGUAGUUUCACUAUAUCCAACUUUGGACCAUGUUAAAAACGUUUAACUUGCUAUUUGUAAUAUUUUUGCAUUAAUGUCAUAUUAAAAUGGUUUGUCUCAUAACUAAUUAACCAUAGCUCUCAUUAAAAUGUUUAGUAUAUGUAACUUGACAAGAAAAAUGUGUAGAAUAACAUGGUAGCAUUUAUUUUGCUGCUUAACAACUCUACAAUUGUGUUAUGAGCUGAAGAGUACCGAAAUCUAAUUUGCAUAUGGGGACUUUCCGGAAUUGUUAUUUGUUGUAUCGACCUCAUUUAAACUUGCCUAGCAUUUCAUGUAGUUCCACAAUAUCCUGUUCAUCCAUGUUUUAACAUGCUUGUGGCUGUCAUUUGCAUAUAUUUUGCACUCAUACCAUAUCAUCUUGUGGUGAUCAUAUCUUUUAGACCGUAUCCCCGUUUGCAAUGAUCUAUAUAUGUAGAUCGACUAGAAUGAUGUGUACAAUCACAUGGUCCACUUUAUUUUGGUGGACCAAUUUCAAAUUUAACACAUGGGGUCAUUUUGGAAAUGCUAUAUGUUGUUUCCGACCUCAUUUAAAAUGCCUAGAUAGUGUAGGUUAUUUACCCUUCACCUGUUGCCAUGUUUAAUAACAUUUAAUAUUGUCGUGUACCUAAAUGGGUGUGGAAUAAGUAAUUUAAUUAUGGAGUUUUGUCAAUAUGCAACUCGUUGCAUAUUGAGAUUCAUUUAAUGUUUAGUAAUAAAUUAUGGUGCUUUGUCGUGUCAUGCAUAAUUUAAUGGACAUGCAUCAUAAUUGCUUGCACAUCAUGUCUUGCAUAUGUUGUGGUGUUUAUCAUGUGUGAUUGUUUUUUAUCCUGAUUGUUUCUUCUCGAUAUAGUUCCGAAAGCAUUUCAGAGUGAGGAUUCGUUCGACUACGUUGGUUUGACUUAUUCAUGGAUUCGUUCUUCUUCCAAGCGGGAUCACAUGAAAGAUGAUCAUUUCCCUAGAUACCAUUACUAUCAUUGCCAUGAUAGUUGCCUCAUUUCUUUCGCAAUGUCUUUCUGCCUACCACUUGUUUAACAAGCCUCCCAACAUUACCAUGAAAAUCCUCUAACCCUUCCACAUCCCAACAAACCCUUGUUUGACUAUGUUACCGCUUGCUCAGCCUUCUUAUAGCGUUUCUAGUUGCAGGUGCAGUUGCUUCCAUGUGACAACAUGAAUUCCUUGUUAUAUCACCAUAUUAUUGCUAAUUAAUUUAAUGCACCUAUAUACUUGGUAAAAGGUGGAAGGCUUGGCCUUCUAGCCUGGUGUUUUGUUCCAUCUUUGCCGCCCUACUUACUUGUGUACCGGUGUUAUGUUCCAUAAUUGAGCGCUCCUAACAUGCUUGGGGAUGUUAUGCCCCCCCUAGAUUUUCGUUUUAGGAUAAAACUCUUCUGACAAGCCCAACAUUGGUACUAUAUUUACCCAACAUAAUAAUAUCGAACAUCGUUAUUAAAACAUAGGGUGUAAAUGACACCUUAGGAGUAAUUCAACCUAAUACAGGGGGCAAUGCUGAUGGUGCUGGUCCAAAACUAGAACAUCAUGCGGGGCCAACCCAGGGCAACUCGGGAGAUGUCUAUCAGCCACCGUAUGCUUCGCUUAUCCGUCAUAUCCUGAGAGCAAGAUACGCGGCUCCUAUCGGGAUCGUCGACACGCCAGGUGGCCUUUUUGGAUUUGUUUUACCUUUCACGAACGUGUUAUGCGAGGGAUUCCGAGGAUACUUUGGGCUACCUCGAGGUUGAGAUUUUCCACCAAGAAUCCUAGGAGAUCAUGGGUUUUCCGUGGUCGAUGUUUCUGACGCAGCUUGUGGUAGUUUGUGAUGGACUAGUUGGAGCACCCCUACAGGGUUAAAUCUUUCUGAAAGCCAUGCUCGCGGUUAAAUUGCAACUUGGAAACUUUGUUUAACACUCAGUCAUAGCUAACUUGAAGUAAACUUAAUUACAAUUUGUCAACUAUGUGCAUAACCGUGACUCUCUCCUCUCGUGAGUUCUGUAUACGAAAGAGGAUAUGUAGGGUUAUGUCUAACGUAAGUAGGUGUUCAUGAUCACUUCGAGAUCAUUAUUAGUUCACGUUCGCUUACGCGUAGAUCACCCCCUCUUAUGCUUGUACUCGUAAGUUAGCCAGUAAGAUAAAUGCUUAGUCGCUUGCUGCAGCCUCACCACUUAACCAUGCCUCACCCAUUAAGCUUUGCUAGUCUUUAUUCCUUUGGAAUGAGAUUGCUGAGUCCAUGUGGCUCACAUAUUACUACAACAACUGUUGCACGUACAGGUAAAGCGAUACUUUGACAUGAGCACGAUGAUUGUUCAUUUGGAGUUUCUUCUUCUUCUUCUUCAUCGAUCUAGGAUGGUUUCCAGGCCGAUAGCCUGGGAUAGCAAGGAUGGACAUCGUUCUUUUAUCGUUCGGUUUCGUUCAUGGUAGGACCCUGCUCUUCUACAUGGUGAUUGGACAUAUUGUUGUAUUUUGUUGUUUAUGUUGUAGCUUGUGGCGAGUGUAAGCCAAUUCCAUAUACUCAACACUUUUGUACAUGUACUUGUAAUGAUUUCUAUUCUUUCAAAACCACGAGAUGCGCAUCUAGCCCUGUCGAGGCCCUCGAGCCAAAAUGAGGAUAGGAUCUCAUCUCGGGCUACAUGAUAGUAGUGAUAUCUAGGGAAAUUAUCAUGUUGACUGAGAUCCCGGUUGGAAGAAGAACAAAUCCGCGAAGUAGACGAACUACAUAGUCAAACAAAUCCUCAAACUCCGUAGCGGUUUCAGAACUCUAACAAGAAUAAACAAUCAAGAAACAAACAAUAAACACACGAUAAACACCACAACAUAUUCGUGACAUGAUGCGUAAACAAUUAUGAUGCAUGUCCAUUUUAUUUUGCAAGACAUAGCAAAUCACAACAAUCAACUUCUCACAUUAAAUGUAGUUUAAUAUGCAAUGAGUUGCAUAUUAACGAAACUCCACAUUUGAUUUACUUAGUUCACUCCCAUUUAGGUACACACCAAUAUUAAAUGUUAUUAACAUGGCAAAAGGCGAAACAGAAAUAAACUACACUAUAUAGACAUCUUAAAUGAGGUCGGAAACAUCAUAUAGCAUUUCCGAAAUUUAGAAAUUGGUCCAAAACAUGUUUUAUAUUUAUUAAACAGCAAAAUAAAGUGAACCAUGUGAUUCUACAGUUUUUCCUAGUCAAGUGACAUAUAUGAAUCAUUUCAAUCGGAGCUGCGGUUAUUUAGUUAUUAAAUAUAUCAUUUGGCAUGGUCAAUAAAAAUUUUAAAAAAGUUCACAGAAUUUUAAAAGGUUCAGAUUUGCAAAAAAAUCAAUUAUUAUGGAAAAGUUCAACGAUUUUUGAAAAAUAUGUACAUGGAUUUUCAAAAAUUUCACAGAAUUCGAAAAAAAUUCAUUAAUUUUAAAAAAAGUUCAUCAAUUUUUAAAAACUGUUCACUGAUUUUGAAAAAAGUUCAUAAGUUUUAAAAACAGUUCACUGAAUUUGAAAAAAGUUCAUGAAUUUUAAAUUAUGUUCAUCGAUUUUUAAAAAUGUUCACGAAUUUCCAAAAAAAAAAAUCAUCGAUUUUCAAAAAAAGUUCACCAAUUUUAAAACAAAUCACGGGUUAAAAAAAAGUUAAUGAAAGAUCCCUACAUGGGCCGACCCAUUGUGGAGCGCGGCUGCUAGCUGGCGCCUGUGGUCCUAAAUAGGUCUAUCGGACCACACCAGCCAAAUACUAACGCAAGGAAAAAAUUUGAGGUGCGUGGGACUCGAACCCAGUACCUACUGGUGGCAACGCGUUGACGAGCUGAGCUACGGCGGUGCUGUGACAAAUAACGAUCUUGGACUACAUGAUCCUUAUCCUGUCGAUGACUGAAGGAAACCGAAAAUAGAGGCUCUGUUGAUGUGGCUAGAGACGCGGUGCAGGUCCCGCGGUGCGGAUGGGGAGUUUCAGGAAGGACAUGACAGCGGGGCAUGCUGUGGCUCCGCUGGCGUCCGGCCAAAGAGAUCUCUAGCGCAAGGCGCGGACGGCGGAGAGGCGAGUUGGAGGCGAGGUGGGGCGCUUGGGCCGCACGAUUCAUUCGCUGCUUCAUGGCUGACAACGCAAGGGACCUCGUGUCCAUGGCAACGAUGUAGUCACGCCAGUGGCAACGACGACACACACGUUAGCUAGGAAUGUGCCUGGUGGACAUUGGAGAAGCCAGAUCCAGGGGCAGGAUCCCUUUCCCAAUGGAGGCAGGGGCAGGAGGCGCUCGGAAUCAAGCUUCUGCUCGAGGGCGCCGUUGGGUCUCGUGGAGAGACACGAGAGAGAGAGAGAGAGAUUGAGCGAUGAGGGAUAGGGAGGCAAGGAGAGGGACGGGGCGUAGGAGACCUACUGGUGCGUUGGUUACUCCGUCGAGCAGUGCGAGACGAUGACUGGUGGAGCAAGGCUUGUGCACGAGGAACUCGAGGAGGCAUGCGCGCUGUCUGCUUGGAGCCGAGGCGCUCGGGCAGCUCACGUAGAGGAGAUCGACAUGGAUCCCUCGAUCUGGAUCAAGUGGGGCUUCGGCUGAUUGGGUCAGCACACAACAUAGGAGAGGCUCUACUAGAUAUGUGUGGUGGCUAUGAGGUGGAUCGGGGAGGAGCUCACUGGUUUGGCAGGAGCGCAGAACGCGAGGGACAGGGCGCUGGUUGGGAA
RNAcentral lists this long non-coding RNA (7633 nucleotides) under Hordeum vulgare. Its description in RNAcentral is "long non-coding RNA (HVUL_LNC018944)". Lineage: Eukaryota; Viridiplantae; Streptophyta; Magnoliopsida; Poales; Poaceae. The record is from RNAcentral.